Non-coding RNA from Chiloscyllium plagiosum (whitespotted bambooshark), 102 nucleotides. Lineage: Eukaryota; Metazoa; Chordata; Chondrichthyes; Orectolobiformes; Hemiscylliidae. The record is from RefSeq and is a predicted model, not a curated record.
GUCCUCGACAUGACCGACUCUUUCCUGUUCCAUCUGGUCUGCCUGAGGGCCAUCCACAAAGUUACCCACUGAACGUAUCUGUCGCACCUUACUACUAUCACU